UCCGUGUUAACCACGGCAGUCACCUUAGAGUGCCCAACUGAAUGCUGGCAACUAAGAUCAAGGGUUGCGCUCGUUGCGGGACUUAACCCAACAUCUCACGACACGAGCUGACGACAACCAUGCACCACCUGUCACCCAUGUCCCCGAAGGGAAAUCUCUAUCUCUAGAGAGGUCAUGGGGAUGUCAAGACCUGGUAAGGUUCUUCGCGUUGCUUCGAAUUAAACCACAUGCUCCACUGCUUGUGCGGGCCCCCGUCAAUUCCUUUGAGUUUCAGCCUUGCGGCCGUACUCCCCAGGCGGGGCACUUAUCGCGUUAGCUGCGGCACCGAAGGGGUCGUUCCCCCCGGCACCUAGUGCCCAUCGUUUACGGCGUGGACUAC
This 379-nucleotide unclassified non-coding RNA is filed under the name uncultured Bacillota bacterium. Its description in RNAcentral is "uncultured Firmicutes bacterium contains 16S-23S intergenic spacer region". Lineage: Bacteria; Bacillati; Bacillota. The record is from RNAcentral.